This 1399-nucleotide ribosomal RNA is filed under the name uncultured bacterium. RNAcentral's name for it is "bacterial SSU rRNA". It matches the Rfam family "Bacterial small subunit ribosomal RNA". The record is from RNAcentral.
UUAGAGUUUGAUCCUGGCUCAGGAUGAACGCUGGCGGCAGGCUUAAUACAUGCAAGUUGAACGGUAACAUGAGAGUAGCAAUACUUUUGAUGACGAGUGGCGUACGGGUGCGUAACACGUGUGCAACCUACCUUAUACCGGAACAAAACAUCGAGAAAUUGGUGCUAAUAUUCCAUAACAUUAUAGAUAGGCAUCUAUUUAUAAUUAAAGAUACGUUGGUAUGAGAUGGGCACGCGGUCCAUUAGCUAGUUGGUAAGGUAACGGCUUACCAAGGCGACGAUGGAUAGGGGUUCUGAGAGGAUUACCCCCCACAUUGGAACUGAGACACGGUCCAAACUCCUACGGGAGGCAGCAGUAAGGAAUAUUGGUCAAUGGAGGCAACUCUGAACCAGCCAUGCCGCGUGCAGGAAGACGGCCCUAUGGGUUGUAAACUGCUUUUAUUAGAGGAUAAAGUGAUGCACGUGUGCAUUAUUGCAGGUAUCUAAUGAAUAAGCAUCGGCUAACUCCGUGCCAGCAGCCGCGGUAAUACGGAGGAUGCAAGCGUUAUCCGGAUUUAUUGGGUUUAAAGGGUGCGCAGGCGGAUCAAUAAGUCAGUGGUGAAAAUUACGUGCUUAACAUGUGACGUGCCAUUGAUACUGUUGGACUAGUAUUCAAAUGACGUAGCUGGAAUGUGUUAUGUAGCGGUGAAAUGCGUAGAUAUAACACAGAACGCCGAUCGUGAAGACAGGUUACGAAUUUGACAUAGACGCUCAUGCACGAAAGCGUGGGGAUCAAACAGGAUUAGAUACCCUGGUAGUCCACGCUGUAAACGAUGAUAACUCGUUGUUGGGCAGUAAUGUUCAGUGGCUAAGCGAAAGCGAUAAGUUAUCCACCUGGGGAGUACGAUCGCAAGGUUGAAACUCAAAGGAAUUGACGGGGGCCCGCACAAGCGGAGGAGCAUGUGGUUUAAUUCGAAGCAACGCGAAGAACCUUACCAAGUCUUGACAUCCCACUGACCGGUCAGUAAUGUGACCCUUUCUUCGGAACAGUGGAGACAGGUGGUGCAUGGUUGUCGUCAGCUCGUGUCGUGAGAUGUUGGGUUAAGUCCCGCAACGAGCGCAACCCUUAUCCUUAGUAGCCAGCAGUAAGAUGGGCACUCUAGGGAGACUGCCAGGGAUAACCUGGAGGAAGGUGGGGAUGACGUCAAAUCAUCAUGCCCCUUAUGACUUGGGCUACACACGUGCUACAAUGGCGUAAACAAAGUGACGCGAGAGUGUGAGCUUAUGCAAAUCACAAAAAUAACGUCUCAGUUCGGAUUGUAGUCUGCAACUCGACUACAUGAAGCUGGAAUCGCUAGUAAUCGCAGAUCAGAAUGCUGCGGUGAAUACGAUCCCGGGCCUUGCACUCACCGCCCGUCAAG